GGGAGGCGGGACAAAGGGAGCGCGCAUUCAGCCGGCGCGCGUGCUCGUCUUCUGUGCGGGCCGCGGCUCCACGUAAUGGCGGAGCAUGAGGAGACUUAGCAACGCUUCAGAACUGAGGGGUUACACUGUGUUCCUGUGUCUGAAAUUCUUCCUGCUGCUCCAGCCAAGCUACUACUAAGGAGUAACAUAUUUCACGGGUUCUCUAGCUUCAACACCUUUUCAGAAUGUCUCAUCAAGCAGCAAGAAUUUGGCCAGGACUCUCAGACAGUGCUACCACAUGGAGUCAGUACAGCGCACUGCAUCCUGUGACAAGCAGCCGAGGGCCCAGCCUGUGCUCCUCUUGCACUCUGCUUAUCUCAACCUUGGACUUAGCUCGUUGUCCUAGACUUUCUGUUUCCGGUCUGCCUCACCACUAAUGCCACAUGAGUUCCGAAGGGCAGGAAGGCGUCAUGCCUCACGACUCUGUAUCUCAGCUUCCAGCUCAGUGCUGACACCUGCUAGGUACUCCACAAAUGUUUGCCAGCAAAAGAAUGCAAGCAUGCUUAAUUGGUCAGAUAGGAGGAGUAGC
This is a long non-coding RNA of Ailuropoda melanoleuca (giant panda), 568 nucleotides long. RefSeq lists it as uncharacterized. The record is from RefSeq and is a predicted model, not a curated record. NCBI's taxonomy places the organism in Eukaryota, Metazoa, Chordata, Mammalia, Carnivora, Ursidae. The transcript is spliced from 3 exons.